This 253-nucleotide ribosomal RNA is filed under the name uncultured bacterium. RNAcentral's name for it is "partial 16S ribosomal RNA". It matches the Rfam family "Bacterial small subunit ribosomal RNA", at positions 524 to 776 of the family's 1533-position model. The record is from RNAcentral.
UACGUAGGCGGCUAGCGUAGUUCGGAAUUACUGGGCGUAAAGCGCACGUAGGCGGAUUAGUAAGUCAGGGGUGAAAUCCCGGGGCUCAACCUCGGAACUGCCUUUGAUACUGCUGAUCUCGAGUCCGGAAGAGGUGAGUGGAAUUCCUAGUGUAGAGGUGAAAUUCGUAGAUAUUAGGAAGAACACCAGUGGCGAAGGCGGCUCGCUGGUCCGGUACUAACGCUGAGGUGCGAAAGCGUGGGGAGCAAACAGG